Molecule: long non-coding RNA, 1176 nt
Organism: Chinchilla lanigera (long-tailed chinchilla)
Lineage: Eukaryota; Metazoa; Chordata; Mammalia; Rodentia; Chinchillidae
Exons: 5
Source: RefSeq, a predicted model, not a curated record
UAUUAGUCCUUUUGCAGACCCAGACGUUUGCCAGGCAAUUUCCCUCUGUCUCUGUUUAUUUAGGGAAGAAAAGGAAUGGAAGAAAGAAAUGGAAAGUGGUAAGAAUUUAGGGUUACAAAAACAAGGCCAGGGGUAGAGACGCCAAAGAGCCUGUGCUGGACGAGCUUCUGCUGACAGUGCUGUUGUCAGAAUGUACAGGGACAGCAGAGAAAAUCAGCAUGAGAACAGGAGUGUUGUACAAAAUGCCUUUGCAGAAGAAUAGCCUCGGAUUAAUUCAAACAUAGAGAAUGAAGCUACGAAUCUCCUGCAGCUGGAAUGAUUCACUUGUUUUUCUUGUUAUCACUUACCUGGCCCAUAUCUAGGUGUUCCAUGGAGAUUUCUGUGAGUCGGGCCUUUGUAUCGAUUUACUCAUUGAUCAGCUACAAUGGUGCAGUGAUCGUAAAAUUUGAUAUCACUGUAGAAUUUACUGCUUUUGGAAGACUGUUAAAGCUACACGAAGAGGUACAAUAUCACAUCAUCUACCAUUAAUGAAGCAAUUACUGGGACAACCUUUCACUGGUGUAAGAGUCCAGCACUUGCUGCUUGGCAAACCACCUCUGACGGAUACACAGGCUCGAGAAGCCUUUUACCUUUCCCAUGUGGUUUGCAAGGAGAAGACCGUGUGUGGAUGUACCCGGAGAGAAGAGAAAUCAAGCCUCUAUUGUAUGAUGGUGAUCCUGACUGCUAUAAGUAAAAGUUGUGCUCCAGUUUUGAAAUUGUGUCAUGUAAAAAUGAAACAUUGGGUAUGCACACCAUGCCAAAAGAUUCUCAGGCCUUUUUUUCAGUUUAAAGAAAAUAUUUAUGCAGUUUAAAUUAUUCCUGGAAAUUCUGGGUAUCAUAGCAUUUUACACAAAUGAAUUUUAUACCAAAUGUGCAGAUAAAUCUCAGAAUAAGCAAUCAUGUACUUUUCAUGGUCUGGUUUUACUCUUUCUGGAUUCCAAUUUUGUAUGCUAUUAAGCAAAUGGGUACACGAAACUGAUAAAAGCGAAAAUUUAAUUCUCAUUUUGUGUCUCCAACAAAAAGACUGUUUCCAUGUCAGAUAAAAUAAAUAUCAGGAAAGGAUGAAGUGCACAUCCCAAGUCUGAAAUCUAUGUCUCUCUUUUGCUUUUCUAAUAAAAGAUAAUAUCAGUGUGAAAA